This 301-nucleotide ribosomal RNA is filed under the name uncultured bacterium. RNAcentral describes it as "partial 16S ribosomal RNA". It matches the Rfam family "Bacterial small subunit ribosomal RNA", at positions 509 to 809 of the family's 1533-position model. The record is from RNAcentral.
CAGCAGCCGCGGUAAUACGUAGGUGGCAAGCGUUGUCCGGAAUUAUUGGGCGUAAAGGGCUCGCAGGCGGUUUCUUAAGUCUGAUGUGAAAGCCCCCGGCUCAACCGGGGAGGGUCAUUGGAAACUGGGAAACUUGAGUGCAGAAGAGGAGAGUGGAAUUCCACGUGUAGCGGUGAAAUGCGUAGAGAUGUGAAGGAACACCAGUGGCGAAGGCGACUCUCUGGUCUGUAACUGACGCUGAGGAGCGAAAGCGUGGGGAGCGAACAGGAUUAGAUACCCGUGUAGUCCCUGUCUCUUAUAA